This 1513-nucleotide long non-coding RNA is filed under the name Pan troglodytes (chimpanzee). Its description in RNAcentral is "long non-coding RNA NONPTRT013217". Lineage: Eukaryota; Metazoa; Chordata; Mammalia; Primates; Hominidae. The record is from RNAcentral.
GCACUAGUGGUUGGCUCUGGGAAGUAACAGUCACCAGAGUCUGGAAGUUCUUCGCUUGAACUUGAGUAGCCAUUGUACUAUUGGAAGCCAGAUGGCCAGGUAUUGGCAAUGGCCAGGGAAAUCCCAAGCUGGCUCAAGAGCCAGUGGUUAGGGAAGAAGAAGGUCAAGUGGACUGGUAAAAAUUCUACUUCAACUGCCCUUAUUCAUAGAUACAACUUUCCUAACAGUCUCACUCUCCACCAGUCCCAUAUCCACAACCCACUCACAGGCUUCAAGCAGCAGGACCUUGCCAUAUUACCCUAAAUCUCCAUAUUGCAGCAGCUCUACCCUGUCCCCUCAGCUUCUUCAAUAAUGACCUUUUUUAAAAUUCUCUUCCCUGACUGCUAUAUUUACACAUAAAUUUCUUAGUGUUACUGAAGCUUCAGAGCUGCUGCCUAUAUACUAUAAUGCAACAAAAAUAGCCUUGAGGGCCAAAUAUAAAUAUGAUUUCAAGAUCUACCACAGUCCUAGAAAAUAAACUUUAUGGGCUGUGAAUGGUACCAUGAGGGUUUCUCAAGAACCAUAUCUGGUUCCCUAUAUUCAGGUAACCAUGAGUUUGUGCUUUGGGAAGAAUGCAGAGGGCUAUAAAAAUUCAUGAGGCUUAUUUAAGCCUUGCCUUCUUUAAAACAUUUCAUUCUUAUUUUAGUGUUUAGUUCGGGUUCUAGUCUUAGCAGUGUCUUAUGGUUACAAUCUACUCUUCUGUUUCCUCAACAAGUUGCAAAUAACACAAACUUCUCACAAAAAUGAUUUAAAAAUGACUGGAAAAAAAUUAAUCUGAAUUGCAAAUAAAUGUGUUUGUGUAGCUCAGGAUUAAUGGGUUUCUGCUUCUCCCCCACAUCAGAGCUCUCCUCUAGCAAACCCAAUGACGAGCCCAAAGGGCUUCCGCAUCAUCUCUGUUGCAUCAAGAAGCCAAGAUGCUUCUCCUGAUAAUGUCUGUCCUUCUGCUGAUAGUGCUGCUGGGCUAUUCUGCAAAGGAUCUCGCUUAUGGGGCUUUUUCAGCGAAUGAACCAAGGAAGUACCCAUUUGUUUUCUGAAGAAUGCAGAAUGCCACUUCAAGUCCUCUAUCUUGGGAGCAUCAGGGCCAACAGAAGGACUGUUAAACAAAAGCAUGUUUUCCAGUGAGGAGGAGGAGCAGGAAGAAGGCACACCUAUAAACAUAAAACCACAAAUAAAGAAAAAUUACAGCAGAAGCAAAUCCAAAAGAAUAAAAUUCUACACCCUUAGUGUGGCCCAAUUGAUGUGAACUCCCCACCCAACAACACAACACUUACACCACCAAGUUUGUACAAAUUUGGUUUUUAUAGUGAAGAGAUUACCUGCCUUGAGAAUCUCCAUUCAAUCUGCAGACUCAAUAUGCCACAUUUUCUAAAACAGCUGAAGCUCACAUAAUUUUUCAUAAAACUAGACCUCCUCCAAACAAAAUAACUGAUCUGAUUUUCAGAGCGGACUCCAUGCAGAACCCAUCAGGUGGCUG